This 209-nucleotide ribosomal RNA is filed under the name uncultured bacterium. RNAcentral describes it as "partial 16S ribosomal RNA". It matches the Rfam family "Bacterial small subunit ribosomal RNA", at positions 568 to 775 of the family's 1533-position model. The record is from RNAcentral.
UGCGUAGGUGGCGGGGUAAGUCUGGUGUGAAAUCUCGGGGCUCAACCCCGAAACUGCACUGGAUACUGCCUUGCUUGAGUACUGGAGAGGAGAUUGGAAUUUACGGUGUAGCAGUGAAAUGCGUAGAUAUCGUAAGGAAGACCAGUGGCGAAGGCGAAUCUCUGGACAGUUACUGACACUGAGGCACGAAGGGCCAGGGGAGGCAAACG